GUAACAGAGGUUUCCUGGAUCAUCACUGGUAAAGGCUCUGAGGUGAACGACAACCACUGUGCCAGUGUUGGGGACACGUUUAACCCCUUCAACAUGGAAGCUGGGGUGAGUUUAUUCUCUCAUUUUCACUUACAAUACAUCAUGGCCAUUCUUCAUGAAGUGUCUAGGAUAGAUCAGCAUUCCUACUCUGAGACACUUUAUGAAUAAGGGCCCAGUACCUAGCCAUCAUAGGAGAAUUUCCCCCACUGUGUAGUCCACUGUGUAGUCCACUGUGUAGUCCACUGUGUAGUCCACUGUGUAGUCCACUGUGUAGUCCACUGUGUAGCGCUGAUCUCUGCUUUAUUUCAACUUUAAAGUUCCACUUGAUCAACAAGUCUUAUGGAAUCCAACGGAACUGUGUUUGAUAUUCCAUCGAAUCUUUGUCUUUGACAAUGUCACAGUUGUUGGGUUUUGAGUUUGCAAGAAAGGCAUUUCACUGUACUUAUGCAUGUGACAUUAAAACUUGCAACUACACCACAACCAUAUACUUCACAUUGUUCUCAUAACCAGAAGUGGAAGUGUUUGUUGGAAUUGGUUUCAAUAGAAUUAGAAUGAGUAGAACAGUCAUGGAACCUCUGACCCAGCCCUAUUGACUUGAAUGGGGACGUCCCUUCUAGUGAUUCUAUUUCUAUGGUUGGUUCCGUCCUCUGCUCUGUUCUGUUCUCUCUCAGAACUCCAGUUGUUCCCGUGACAACACUCUGAGUUGUGAGGUGGGAGACCUGACGAACAGACAGGGGACAGUCAGCCUGACACACAGGCAGCUGUACACCGACACCAGCAUACAACUGGCUGGGGACUACACAGUGGUCCACAGGUCCCUGGUCCUGAGGAGCGGCAGCGAUGUCUUCGCGUGUGCCGUCAUUCUUCCAGAAUCCCCCUGGGCAGAGCAGACCUUCCCCAACGUCAUGUCUUUCAGCAGAUAUGACUUCCGCAAUAGGGUGGCAGAGGUCCUAGAGGUGAACAUGUCCAGGGUCACCAUCCUUCCAGGGUCUCCUCUGGCCACAGUGGACAGACCAUGCCAGAAAGUCAGCUUCCUUGUCUCAGGGGAGGUGAGUAUGGACAAGAUGAACUCUGUCAAAGACAGUGAGAAGAUGGGCAUCUUCAAGCAGACAGAAGGUUGCUCAAGUAAGUACACCACUGACCCACACACACGCACCCAUCCACUCACACACACCCAAUACAGUAGGUGUGAUAGUGUAUAACUGAACAGAAACAUACAAAUAAACCUUACUGUGUAGACAUAUUAAUGUAAUACAAUCUUUCAUCUAAAUUUUCAUUUAAACAGGAAGUUCUGGACAACUGCUGGAGCCUGGGAGAUACCUGGUGAUGUUGACGAUAGCUGCAGCCUACUUCCUACACUCUCUGAUCCAGCAGUAGUUUAUACUGUAGAUCUAGGUUUGCAUCCCAAAUGGCACCCUAUUCUCCAUAUAGUGCACUACUUCUGACCAGAGACUUUUUUAAAUUUUUUAUUUCACCUUUAUUUAACCAGGUAGGCCAAUUGAGAACAAGUUCUCAUUUACAACUGCAACCUGGCCAAGAUAAAGCAAAGCAGUGCGACACAAACAACAACACAGAGUUACACAUGGAAUAAACAAACAUACAGUCAAUAACACAAUAGAAAGAAUCUGUAUACAGUGUGUGCAAAUUAGGUAAGAUUAGGGAGGUAAGGCAAUAAAUAGGACGUAGUGGCGAAGUAAUUACAAUUUAGCAAUUAAACACUGGAGUGAUAGAUGUGCAGAAAAUUAAUGUGCAAGUAGAGAUACUAGGGUGCAAAGGAGCAAAAAAAUAAAACAUAUGGGGAUGAGGUAGUUGGAUGGGCUAUGUACAGGUGCAAUGAUCUGUGAGCUGCUCUGACAGCUGAUGCUUAAAGUUAGUGAGGGAGAUAUGAGUCUCCAGCUUCAGUGAUUUUUGCAAUUCGUUCCAGUCAUUGGCAGCAGAGAACCUGAAGGAAAGGCAGCCAAAGGAGGAAUUGACUUUGGGGGUGACCAGUGAAAUAUACCUGCUGGAGCACGUGCUACGGGUGGGUGCUGCUAUGGUGACCAGUGAGCUGAGAUAAGGCGGGGCUUUACCUAGCAAAGACUUGGGUUUUGGUCAAAAGUAGUGCACUAUAUAGGGAAUAGGGUGCCAUUUUGGCAUAGCCAUAACCCUCACUUUGAAUCAACACUGGAACUGUCAAAUAUUCAUAUUUUCUAAACUGCAAUGAAGUCUAUAUUUUGAUGAUCUUUUUGUCAUUGAUCUGAAUGGUGUGGGUUUGAAUUUGCUCUUGAAGCAAGCAUUUUUUUGUUUAUUCGUUUUUUAUCCUAGAUAUAAAAAAUUAUAUACUUUAGAUGCCAACUAAAUGCCAACUUCCUGUUUUAUAUUGUAAAUAUUCCACGUUUGGGUAAAUAUGACUGAGUAUACUGUUUCAGCCCAAUAUCCAGAACAUCAAAACAAACUUAAUAGCGCAAAAAUUGUUCAUUGUCCUUCCCUGUCCAAUUACUGUAUCAAAAAUGCAAUAUGAAGGAAAGAGAUGCUGUAAAUGUUUGCAAAUGUCUCCCAUUGUAUGUACUGUUUUCUCAUGCAUUAAUGUAUUACACUGCCACUUUCCCAUUUAAGGUGAAUUUCCAAGUCUUGCAUAUAUGUUUUUAUUGAGUAACCAUAAAAAUAACGUGAUGAUGAAAAAAUAUAUUUGGAUAAAUACGGAUUAUUGAAAACGUGAAUUUCAUGAAAUCUCUAUAGGCCUUUUACUCCAAUGCAGGGGCGUAGGCUACAUGCUGUUUCAUACAUGUUGCCGUUUACUUGAGCCGCUGUAUUUUGAAUUAAAGGAAGGCGA
Long non-coding RNA from Salmo trutta (river trout), 2851 nucleotides. The record is from Ensembl. NCBI's taxonomy places the organism in Eukaryota, Metazoa, Chordata, Actinopteri, Salmoniformes, Salmonidae.